This is an RNA transcript of Ooceraea biroi (clonal raider ant), 11845 nucleotides long. It is a transcript of the gene named Rab3 interacting molecule, with no coding region annotated. The record is from RefSeq and is a predicted model, not a curated record. Lineage: Eukaryota; Metazoa; Arthropoda; Insecta; Hymenoptera; Formicidae.
CGGUGCACGCGCGUACACCGCCGCCACCGCCGUGAUGGCGGAGCUACCUCAGCCCGACAUGUCGCACCUCACCCCCGAGGAGAGGCGCAUCAUAGAGAAUGUUUUAAUGCGCCAAAAGGAAGAGGAGAAGCAGGAUAUUGAGGCCAUGAGACGAAAGCAAGAUGAGGUGCAAGUCCUCGAGGAAUCGAUACGGAUACGUUCGGAGAUACAUAAGAAAGCGGGGGUAGAGCUGAACGCCACGUGCCACAUAUGCCUGAAAACCAAGUUCGCCGACGGUGUCGGUCACAUCUGCAACUACUGCGAGAUCCGGUGCUGCGCACGCUGCGGCGGGAAGGUUACCCUACGGUCUAGCAAGGUAAUAUGGGUGUGCAUACUUUGCCGGAAGAAGCAGGAACUUCUUUCGAAGACCGGACAAUGGAUGUCGAAAACUGGCCUCGGCGCCGCGGACACCGCGAUGCUGCGGCAGAUGCAGGACAUGCAGGUGGGUGGUCCUCAGGGACUCGCGGACCAAACUCAGGAUAAAAGACCGAAACUCGAGAGGGCGCACAGCGCGGCUGAGAAAGAGAAUUUGCCGUUGUUACAGAGAAGUGGAAACUGUCCGCUCAGAAGACAGUACUCCCAGCAGGAACAGCUCUCGGGUCGCCGAAUAUCCAGCGACAAUGGGAUGGAAAUUUCGCCUCACUCGAGAACUUUACCGACGCCGCAUGUGGUGGUUGGCUCUUACCCGGUGCAACAAACUCCGAGACACCCUGCAGCCUACCCUGACGACGAUCCCAGUUUGUAUCGAGGCGAGAUCGACGGUCUGAUGAGACAGCACCCGCAGAAUUAUCAGAAGCAACGGUCUUAUCAGGAUCAGAGCGCGGAUCUCGGGAUGACUUAUGGUCAGUCGCCGAUGGAAUCUGGUUCCGUUCGUAGCGCAAUGCAUCUCUCUCAGCAGCAUUCGAUGCACCAAAUGCAGGGCGGACGUCCUGCACAACCUGCGUCGACGGGUGUCCAGCAGCAAAGAAGUUUAAGUAGCAGCGAAGAAGAGCGAAGCACAGAGUACGCCAGCGACGAGCCGGACGAAUCGGAGAAGGGGAAGGGAUACUACCACCACGCAGGAGGUCCGAAAUCAAUGUCCAGUGGUGGGCGUAGGCACAACGGAUCCCACAAUGGGCAUCACACCGCUGGUGCUAGCCUGGACGUCGAGCAUAACGGCCACCAUCCACCGCGAGAGCCGCGAAAAGAGGAGAACACUCUCGUCAGACGGAGCUUCCGAAGAUGCGGCGACGAGUGGCGCGCCGACAGUAGGAGGUUCACGGAGAGAAGGGGGAAAAAGACAGUGCGUUUUGACGGUGGGACCAAUGUUGGCGGCUCUCAGGAGGAAUGGUCUUGGGAGGCCGAUCGACAAGGUAGCCAAGACAGCGCGACCAAAGACUCCGGGAUAGACACCUCUAGCACCUUCACGAGCAGUGAAGACAGCAACAGGGGCGAUCUGCCCAAGCAUCCAUUAUCCUGGCAAAUGAGCGAAAACGGUCAGAAGCUCAUCGGCCACAUGGUUUUGCGAAAAUCGGCCGGCUCCGGAAGCAGUAGUAGUAUACUCGGACUGAAAGUUGUCGGUGGCAAGCUGCUGGAGGACGGUUCCAUGGGCGCUGUGAUCGAGAAGGUGAAAAGGGGUAGCACGGCGGACAUAGAAGGUCAACUUAGACCCGGUGACGAAGUGAUCGAGUGGAACGGGAGAUCCCUUCAGGGCAAGAGCUUCCGGGAAGUUUACGACAUCAUUGCCGAGUCGAGGGAGGAGCCGCAAAUCGAGCUCGUAGUUGAGAGGAAGUUGUCGACGGGCAUGUUGCCUGCAGGACCGGGUCCGUCGACGCCCAUAGCAUCGAGGAGAAUCGUCGCACAGAGUCAGUGGAGACAGAAACACGAGACCAUCUCCGGACCUCAGCAACCGCAUCACAAAGGUCUUAAGAAAUCUAUUCUAUGGGACUUGUACGACACGAGGCGCGAGAAACCCUCGGUUUUAGUGACGUCGCCCGGCUCGCCGGACCUGCACGCCCAGGGACGAGGUCGGCAUUCCCGGCACCCGACCGGAAACGCGAACGUGGGCGGUAGCAUCCAGGUGAAGCUGGGCUAUGAUUCGGUCGCGGGACUGAUCGUGACGAUAGUCGGCGCCUCGGGUCUCACACCGAAGAGCAACGGCGAGCUCAGGAACCCCUACGCCAAGAUGUACCUGCUUCCUGACAGAAGCGAAAAGUCGAAACAGCGUACGAGAACCGUGGCGAAUACAAACGAUCCUCGAUGGAAUCAGUCUUUCCUUUAUCAUGGAAUCAGACGUACGGAACUGAGGAAAAGGGCGCUGGAGAUUACGGUGUGGGACUACGCGAGGUACGAGGCGAACGAUUUUCUCGGCGAGGUUGUCCUGGAAUUGGCAGUAUGUCCUUUAGACGAGGAACCAGAAUGGCAUCCUCUGACCGUUCACGGAGAACACCGGCAUGUCAGGCAUUACCAGGAUGAUGACAUGAUAGAUUGUCAUCUCAGUCCACCGUCGACCACCUCGCGAUUGAGUGACUCCGACACCUCGGAGUGCGACGCCACGGACUGUGACGUGUCGAGAGAACAAAGAAGAACAGCCGACGGUGCCAGCAUAAGUAGUAUCGGCAGUUCCUCUAGGUUUCAUAAUAUGCCGUCAAAUUAUAAGCGCCACUAUUCUAGCCCGCCGCCGGAGAGGGAGCUCUGCAUCGACGGGGAGCAUCGGAGUCGAAGAGACAUGUCGCCUCAAGGACGCAAAAGGGCUGCCCUCAUGAUCUCCCGCGACCAACCUACUUCUAUUGGAUCGAGCUAUCCGACAUAUCGUAAGGAUGACAUCCAUCGAGGAAUGAUGGGUCACCGGUCUCAUAGCGCAGCACCUAUGGACUCUCCGAGUGUCAGAUAUCGCGGAAGGUCUCAGAGUCCCACUGGUCAUCGUUCCUUGUCUCCACCCGAGCACAGAUCCAUUCCUUAUUCGCACGGAUACGUUCACACGAGAUUUGGCUCGAGAUCGGCGACUGCCACUCCGACUGGAUCGCCAAAGAAACGUCAGCUACCUCAGAUUCCGGCAGCCUUGAAGGAAAGGGUCGUGCAAGAUCUGGAAGAACGUGCGAGAUUCAUGAGGCAUCGAAACAGGCAGUCGAUAUACAGAAGCACAGGCAUGGGAGGCUGGGAAAAGCAUUACAGCGGCCUCUCGGACUCGGAUCUCCCUUCGAUCGGACACGAUCCACUAACGUUGCCGCACGUUCACAGAUUGCACAGACCGAAGAAAGGACGCUUGAGUCCCGACAAAGACGUAGUGGGUGAUUUUGGCGAUUCUGACAUGGAGAGCAUAGCCUCGGUUACGAGCAGUGCCUUUAGUACACAAUCCGAACGACCAGGUGGAUCGAGAACACUAAUGCCAGGGUGCGUCGGUCUGCUAUCGCGGCGGGCCAAGAGUUUCGAGUACGAGAGCAUUUCGAGCAACAUAUUCAGCGACGACAGUCUCAGGACGGCCCGAAGGAAGCUCAAGCGGAAUCUCUCUCUCAGCGACGCCGGAUACGGUGACAAGAUACCAGCGCUGGGCGAUCACAGCAAGUCCUACUUCGACUCUAACGGUGACGACAAAGUGCCUAGUCUCGCGAGCAAGGAGACCAAUUACGAUUUUCUCCUCGAUGACGCGGAACACAAGCCGUUUUACGGAUACGACUCAGAGCUCAGCUGCGGCGAGACGGAGAUUUACGUGCCAAGCUUCGACAAGUCCAGCAUCGAGACGACAGUCGACAGAAUCGCUGAGGCCAAAGAUUAUAAAUCCGCGUACGGUUCGCGUCCCGCGCACGACAGCGAUCUCUUCAGCGAUAACGACCGCGCCAAUCUCAGGAACAUUCUCGACAAGGAGGACACCGGCAAGAGAAAAUACGCGGACGGGAGUUAUUUGAAUCACGACACAUCAUACAUCAGAGACAUAUCUACGGAGAAGAGGACCAAGAACGUGGAGGGCGAUCUCUGUAACCCGAUCGGCGAUCAUCACAUCUACUGCAGCAUCGACGAGGCUCUGUCGUCCAGCGAGAAUUACGAGCGCAACAUUCUCGCGAGAUCCGCCACGAAGAUUCACGACGCCUCCGACAUCGACCACUGGAUAUCAAAGGACGUCAAAGAAGUCCUACGGUCGCAUGGAGGAACAGCCGGUCAUUCCUAUCGAGACAACGGGUACAAGAGUUACGAUAGCUGGGACACCGACUACGAUGAAGGAUUCAUAGACCGAGACAAGGAUUACGAGGAGAAGCAAUUCGACUAUCGAGACAAGGGCGUACGAGCUUUGAGAAGCGGCGGAUCGGCGUACGAAAGCGAGUACGACGGCGCGGAUCGUACCCGCGGGAAACGUUACGCACGGUUCGAUAACGACGGAAAGCUUGCGACGAGCGAUUACAUUAGUUAUCGUCCCUCCGACGACUACGAGUAUCAGGCUGCGCACACUAUGGGUACCAAUGAGGACGGUUCCAUGCCGCGCAGAAGAAGACGAAGAAGCAGGAGGGACAGUCGAGAGGGAGGCGUAGGUGGCUACGAGAGCUCGCAGAUCCGAGACACGGUACCAGGCGUUCAACCGAGAUUGACGGAGAGCAGGCGAUCGACGAUCCAGCGUACGGAGUCCACGCCAACCCUGCAUUCGGACGAGGAUCUGAGCUCGAUUGCGGACCGCACCAGACGCAUGUAUCGCCGCAGGCGGAACAGCAGUUGCCCAGAGAGCAGAGAUCUGCGUUUACGCGAGGGACUGUUCCGACAUAGGGACAUCGACGAGAGGACUUCGAGCUUCGUGUUGGAGUCCGACGAGGAGUUCGGCUCCGUGGAGACGGUCGUCGGCGCUGAUUAUUACCGUCGUACGUCGGGCGUGACGGGGACUCGAGCGAACGGCAUUAGAGCUUCGGGCUUCCUUCACGCGGGACAAGAUCGUGGUAGCUACUUAGACUCAAGAUACGAUUACGAGGAUCGAUAUCAGGACCGCAGUUAUCCGGGGACUCGCGAAUUAGUUAGGUCAGGGUCGCAGCGUGCUUCGAGUCGCGACGGGCGACACGCGUCGCGCACUAGGCGUAAAAGUAGCUGCCCGGAGUGCCGCGAGCUAGCGCUGUCAACUUCGGAAUUAGGUAGGUCGGGGUCGCUGUCGCGAAGGGGUGACGAUACCCGGCGUUCAUCGGUAGAGGCAAAGCAUAGAUAUCGUAGGCGAAACAGCAGCUGUCCGGAGGCUAGGGAUCUCGAAAUGCUCGAGAAGAGGCAGCGCCCGCAGCAGCUCGUGCAUCGGCAUCAGCAGCAGCUACAGCGACACCCGAGCCAGCAGCAGCAGCAACAGCAACAGCAACAGCAGCGGCCGCAACAUCAGCAGGGAAGUAGUAAGAGGAACGUGGCGAUCAGCGACACCCUCGAGUACUACGAGUACUCGAUGGAGAGCGAGAGCCAGUGCAGCGAGAACUGCGGAUUUGGCCCGUGCGAUCCGCGUAGGCCCCGUAACCGAGCACCCCGCCCCGGUAACGCUAAUUCAAGUCUCUUUGAUUCCCAAACCGCUACCUCCGACACUGCUAAAAACUACCACCCACGGGUCGACGAUCAUCACCACCAAUACCCACAAAACACGAAAACAUCGCCGCUCGCCAACGUCGUCGACGUGGCAUCCUCGUUCCUGCCACGGCCGUCGUCCUCGUCGUCCCGGCAACGAUCCCGAAAAAAAUCCGCCUACGACGUCGACGGCCACGACCGCACCAACGUCGCCGCCGCCGCUGCCGGCGCCAUCGGUCGUCGCGGCGCCGCUGACGACGCGCGGAAUCGUCGCUCCUCGUCCAUGCCCGAAAGCAGCGAGUACACCAGUCAGCCAAGCUCGUACGAGAAGACGUCCAGACACCAGGUCACCGACAACGGGCACGACAAGAGAAACCAGUUUACCAGGAGUCUCAGUAACGCCGACGUGCCCCAAGAUGAGAAAGACACGGGUAGUUUCAGCGAUACAGCGCUCGCGCUGAACGUCGACGAUACAUCGAGAAGAGGCCGCAAAAGCUCGCCUGGAAGUAAAAGCGGAAGCGGCAGCAGCAGCGGAAGCGCGGUCCAGUAUCAAGCGGGCCUGGGCAAGAAGAGUAACAGCACCAGCCAAUUAUCCGCGACAGAGUGCGGAGGGAUGUUCAUCGGCGGUGGAAGCGCCGCGGCACGCGGCCCUGGUGGCUUAGCGAGCCGGAAGCGCAACAGCACGCCGAGCAGCAUACAACGAUCCGAGGAGAUCAUGCCGAUGUAUCAGCGCUUUGACGUCGGCAAACAGGCAGGAUCGGCAGCCAGCGAUACCGCCGGAAGUCUCAACUCGAUCUCUAGUUCCGAAGGAAGCUCUUGGUCUCCCAGUCUGAGAAUGGCAGGCGAAGGACAGUUGAGAGACUUCAUCGAAGAUCUUGGACCGGGCCAGGUAGUCGGACGACAAGCACUCGGUGCCCGUUGCCUCGGCGAGAUUCAACUGUCGUUGAGCCAAACGAAGGGCUACCUUGAGGUGGAGGUCAUACGUGCCAAAGAUCUUAAAGCGAAACAAGGCAGCAAGGUGAUACCAGCUCCUUACGUGAAGCUUUACGUGGUGAACGGUAAAAGAUGUAUAGCGAAAGCGAAAACCACGACGGCCAGAAAAACGUUGGAUCCGUUCUAUCAACAAUUGCUGGCUUUCAAAGAAAACUGCCGGGGUUGCAUAUUGCAGGUGACAGUAUGGGGUGACUAUGGCCGGAUAGAGGGGAAAAAAGUGUUCAUGGGUAUUGCACAGAUCGUAUUGGAUGAGCUGGACCUCAAUCAGAUGGUGUUCGGAUGGUACAAGCUGUUUGGCACCCAAUCCCUGAAACACCACUAGUACAUCACAUAUCAUGUACGACAUAUCUCAGACGAGCCACUAGUCUGUAUGUAGACUAGAUGUAGACGUAGCAGCCAUGUUCCCGGAGCGCCAGAUAGUUUUAGAACGUCUGAAAACAAACGAAUUCAAGCGAGUUUGGGAUAGAUGAGAACUCAAAUGUGGUGUACUAGGUAAAUAAGACGCGAAACGAUCAGUGACACUCGUUUUCAGUGAAUCUAAAUGUGGUUAAGUGAAUAAGAAAUCGAUGAACACAGUGGGAUGAACAAAGAGAUAAACGAUUCAUGGACGUUUAAUCAUGCGAGAAAGAUUGAAAAUGUUGAACAGUAUACAUAUAAAUAUAUUACAAAUACUUAUGGAAGACGUUUCCAAAACUUUGUAUAUAAUUUAGGACAGUUCAAGUACUAAAUGCCGAUCUCCGAAAAUCGGUCGGAUAAAAGACACUUAUCGUUGUCAAAUUUUUAGUCAAAAAUGUCACCGUCAGAGUAUAUAUUAUUUAAUGUAAAUAAUAUAAGAACUAUAUGAAUUUGUGCGAAUAUUGUGCGCGCUGGUUUGAGUGGGUAAUGACGUUCGCAUUAUGUUCUCGUUGACUUGCGAUUUCUACGUGGAUGAUCGUUCUGAUUUUGGGACAUUUCUGUUAAUUAGACUAUCUCGACCUAUAAUUUAACGUUUCUUAAGUCAGCAUCGGAAUAUAUAACUAGAAUAUAUGAUGAAUAUAAUUAAUUACACAGUUUGUUCCUUGAUACAUAAAACCGACAUUUAUUGGCCGUCGUACUGUCGCGUUAUUCGAUUUGUUUUCAAGCUCUAUUCAGUGAUUUGUCCAAAAUGAGAACACGGUAACGAAUUCUACAAUGUAGAAAAUGUGGAACAGAAGUAUAUAUGCCACAUUAAGUACGAGGCAGACUGAUAAAUCGAUUCCUACGUAUCUAGGUUUGGCCAUUUUCGUUGUAUUAGCAAUCUCGACGCCGGAAGAGUUGUACCCGAACGAUUAUGGAUUAGCUUCGUUUGAUGAAAUUGAUUUCGGAAUUUCUCAUUCGUGGUAAGAACCGGUUCUUGAAACAAAUUGAAAAACAAAACAAACCGCCCAUUUAAACUCGCGUAAAGCAGGACUCGUCGCGGCAAAAAUUCUCUUUCGUACUGAUUUUGUACAAAAAGAAAACAGUGAAUGCCACUAAAUAUUUAAGAGGCUUUGUAAAUCUCUCUGUAAGAAACGCGUAAAUGCUUGCCAUUAAUUUUAUAUCUUAAUUAUCGUGCUAUGUGUUCGAUCUUUCUUCGUGCGUACCUCGAACACUCGCGAUGAUACAUUCUGCGAGCAUGCACAUGCACGUGAAACGUCUACUGUGAAUUAGUAAAUAAUUAUAUUCGCGUGCCCUGCGAGAAAGAGGAAGAGUGAGAGAAAGAUAGAGAGAUUGAAAGCGAGAUUACAAGUGAGAUUGAGAGCGAGAUUGAGUGUGUGUGUGUGUGAGAGAGAGAGAGAGACUGAGAAAAAAAUUGGAAGAGAGAGAAUUAUUUUUUGUGAAAUUUAAAGUUUGGCGUGUGAACUCCGUGUAAAAGCCGAACGUUUCAGUUUAAUCAUGAAACGUCAAGAAAGAGAUUUGGAAGAACGAGGGAAAAUCUGAACGAGAGCGAGUGUUUAAUAUUUUUCAGGCAUUAUGGCGAUGUUUGCGUGAAAUUUAGGUAUGCUUUUACGCAAGUUGGCGUAUUGAGCGACUAUCGAAAGAAAUCUGGAAAAUUGCUACGCGCUGAAUUUUCUUUGCGAAUCUUGUUAAUCUUCAGUGAAGUAAACUUCCUAAUGACAUGCUUUCGGAUUACGAAUCAUUGUAAUCAUUGGAAGGUACUCCUUGGAUAUCGUCGACGGAAUCGAUGAGUGAAAUACAAGCUCCAAGUAGCUUGUAUAUGUUUUCGUACGCAGAGAAUCUGUUAAAGAAGUACAGAUUCAAACGUAGAAAACUUCGUGAAUAAUUCGCGUCACGUUUCUUCAGUGAUCACGGUCGGAUGAUUCAGUGACAGUGACGUUAAUCCCUUACUGCAGUUCUUACUAUUGAUUGACCAAGUGUACGAUAUCUUGCUUUGUAAUUCGAACUGACAUUGCCGCAUUCGCACUCGCAUUUCUGCUCUCUGACUAUUACACGACUACACUCUUUCCGCGAUCCUCGACGUGGUUUUUCGGAGUAAGAUCGAAUACCACAUAAGCGCGGAGUUUGAUACGCGUGCUGAGAUUAUAUCGAAUCACCAUCGAAACACAUGCAGUCCGUCGUUAAGCGAGUUAUGACGUAAGACUUAGCUUAGAGUUGAAAGAAAAAAAAACCGAGAUUACGAAGUACCAUUGAUUUACAGACGAGCCAUGUAUAGAGAUGUCACCGAUGAUCCAGUCGUUUGCGAUAAAUUCUAGGUAACUUUCUCGCAAUCGGGAGACCGAUCGAGCUUUAGGGAACGAGGGAAUUGUAUAGAGAGAAUGGUGGUAUCUUAUCAUAUCUAUAACACACGUGCUUAAAAAUUAGAGACGUACAGCAAGAGAAAGAAGCUUUUUUACUUGUGAAAAAAAAAACAAAGACAAAAAGUAGAGCUCUAUCCGAAGGCGGUGGAGGAGAGAUGUAUGUAAAGUACCGUGAAGAAACCAAAAAAGAAAAAAAAUUACCGUAAGCUGAUUUCUAAGUACGUAUUUUGCAACGCGCACGAAACUUACCGAGGUCGUGAGACAAUGACGACGUAAUUACACAAGUAUAUAAUUCUGUAAUAGUUAUUCGAUAAAAUAUAACACGCAAGACUACUUACACCACGUAACUCCUCAGUUUGUAAAGCGCCGCUCAUGAGCGGCGAUGAGAUCCUUCUCGCGAGGUUGAUUCGACUCCCCCGUCUCUCUCUCCUCUUCGUAAGCUGUUUCUCGUGCGAUCUCUCACGUUUCCCCGACAAAUAACACGGUCAAACACGCGGAUUUCAAGUUACUUUUAGAGCUAGGAGAGAAAACUAGUAGAAUUUGUAUAAUAAAAGACUCGUAAAGACUGCAUUUGUGCGGGUAGCCGAGCGACUCGAGAAAAUCGUCUCCUCGUGUUGGCUAUUACGUCAUUACGUGCACCGCGAUAGAAGUAAUGACAAAAUGACUACCAUUUCGCGGAGAAUCGCGCGAGAUGAGAUAAGUUGUGGCGCCCCACACGGGGCGCCGUGAAAUUUACGAGAGAAACGAAAGUAACAUAAUUCGUUCAUCGCGGAUUUAAUAAUACUGGUCAUUCGUAUCGUUAUUCUAAUACGUUAGAAGGGUGUUGAUUCGUCGUGAGAAACAGCGCGAGAGGGGUGCACUUCGAUUUUUAUUCUUACCAUGCCCAUUUGUACAUAGGCAUGCUCAAUCCUAGAAGAGCGGACACGCGCAUUGUGCAUGUGUAUAUGGUGUGUAUAUGCGCGCGCGCGCGCGCGUGUGUGUGUGCACGCGUGUCUGUAUAUGUGUGCGAGAAAAUCACGUAUACAUAAUAUUAUAAACUACGAAACGAACAAAUUAUUAUAUCCGACUUUAUACCUAUAUAUUAUUAAUUGACUCAAUGAAAGGGGUCGGGUGCAUGCCCCGACGACUAUUAUCGAUUUGAUUAGUAGAAACUAACGAAGAUUGGAGCGUACAAUUGAAAAUGAGAGAAAGAAAAUAAUAUCUAGCGAAACGAGACUACACAAAGAAACCCAGAACACUAAAAUGCGCGAUAAAAAUGCCUGAGAGCCAAGGGGUACCACUUUUGUCAAAUUUAGAGAGCCAAUUUAGGUUUACAACUAUAAUAGGGUGUGCGUGCGUGUGCACGUGUGCGUAUUGGAUGCAUGAAGAGGGUUGAAGAAAGAAAAAGGAACGCGAGAGAAUGCGUGUGCGAGCGAGCGAGCGACAUGAAACGGAGGAAAAGUUGCAAAAAGAGAAAGAAAGACAAGAUAUCGAGAUAUGAAAUGAAUUAUCGAUUAUUCUCGUAGAGGGAAGUUCAAUGUAGCGUUAGGCGAUCCUGUAAACUUGUAUUUAAGCUCACGAGCGACUCGUAUUCCGAUGUACAUGUGCUUCACACCUUGACAAAACGUGGGAAGCCACAAUUAUAGACCGUAUAUCGUCAUUUCGCCGAUUGAUCGUUCGAUCGCAUCACUUGCCCUCGGGCGUCCUGAUUAGAUUCUGUCCCUAGCGCUCUUUUCGAAAUGCACAAUCUCCAGCUGAAGUAGCAAAAGUCGCCUAUCUCGAGCAUUGUCCUUCGGAGCGAGUCAUGAGAUCGGUCGUAAGAUCGCGAGCAGUUUACGAUCUUAAUAUUAAAUGAAAAAAAAGAAUUAUCGCUGUUGGCGAAGUUGUCCAUCGCUCAGACGCAACCGCGACUGGACCUGUACAUUCUUAAUUUAUCAAUGAUGUACGUCCGAAUUUAUUUCCUUCGGGUAUAAGGGUGAGAAGGCGGGCGGCAAGCGAAGGAGCAGAAAAUGCAAGAGAAUGCGAAAGAAUGAGGGAAUGAGAGUGAGAAUGAAAGAAGAGAACACGAGAGUGUACGUGUGCGUAUGUGUGAGAGAGAAAGAGAGAGAGAGAGGGAGCGAAAGAGUGGGCGUUAGGGAAAGCGUGUCUUUUUUCGUUGAGCAAACGGAAGCAGGAGUAACAAGAAUAACGAGAGGACGAAAGAAUUUAAGCAGUACGUACGUUUAGUCGACGUUCUCGGCGGGAUCUUGGCCGGGAGCUCCGUGAACGUUUGUUUCUCCCUCGCUUCGUCUACGCUCGUGGAAGAAACUCGAGAAUUCGCGGCACGAGGUAACAUCGCACACCACACGAUAUAAGUGUAACAAUCCGUUUUCGUUUCCUCGCAUCAAUAUAGGCGUUCUCCCUCCGCGCGCGCGUUCGAACCGCGGCUCGCUGUUAAAAGCCACCGCCUCAAUCACGGAGUUCGCGGCAGGGGAUCGCGAGACGAUUAAGUAUAAAGCGUUAGUGACUGUAUCCAGUAUCAUAUAUCUGAUAAAAGAUACCCCCGAUGCCAGAGAUGGCGUGUGACAAUAAAGUGAUUCAAUGAU